GCGCAGCAGGCGAGAAUUCUUCUCAAUGGGCGAAAGCCUGAAGGAGCGACGCCGCGUGGAGGAUGAAGGCUUUCGGGUUGUAAACUCCUGUCAUUUGAGAACAAGUGCCAACAAGUAACUACUGUUGGCUUGAUAGUAUCAGAAGAGGAAGGGACGGCUAACUCUGUGCCAGCAGCCGCGGUAAUACAGAGGUCCCAAGCGUUGUUCGGAUUCAUUGGGCGUAAAGGGUGCGUAGGUGGCGCCGUAAGUGGGGUGUGAAAUUUCGGAGCUUAACUCCGAAACUGCAUUCCAUACUGCGGUGCUUGAGGACUGGAGAGGAGACUGGAAUUCAUGGUGUAGCAGUGAAAUGCGUAGAGAUCAUGAGGAAGACCGAGUGGCGAAGGCGGGUCUCUGGACAGUUCCUGACACUGAGGCACGAAGGCUAGGGGAGCGAACGGGAUUAGAUACCCGCGUAGU
This 456-nucleotide ribosomal RNA is filed under the name uncultured organism. RNAcentral's name for it is "bacterial SSU rRNA". It matches the Rfam family "Bacterial small subunit ribosomal RNA", at positions 346 to 794 of the family's 1533-position model. The record is from RNAcentral.